This 1562-nucleotide long non-coding RNA is filed under the name Homo sapiens (human). Its description in RNAcentral is "HSALNT0186999". The record is from RNAcentral. Lineage: Eukaryota; Metazoa; Chordata; Mammalia; Primates; Hominidae.
GUGAUGGAGUCUUGCUUUGUCGCCCAGGCUGGAUUGCAGUGGCGCAAUCUUAGCUCACUGCAAGCUCCACCUCCCAGGUUCACGCCAUUCUCUUGCCUCAGCCUCCCGAGUAGCUGGGACUAGAGGCACCCACCACCGUGCCCGGCUAAUUUUUUGUAUUUUUAGUAGAGACAGGGUUUCACUGUGUUAGCCAGGAUGGUCCCGAUCUCCUGACCUCGUGAUCCGCCCGCCUCGGCCUCCCAAAGUGCUGGGAUUACAGGCGUGAGCCACCACAUCUGGCCUCUCCAGCUAACAAUUCUACAGGCUUAACUAGAUGUUCUUUGGGCACCCACUUCACCCUCCAGAGAUGGUUCAUAUUGAGGAUUUAACUAAUCAAGAGACGUGGACGAAAUGUAAAUUAAAAAAUAUUUAUCACUCAUGGUUUUAUUCCAUUUUUUGCUGCUAUAACAAUAUCACAGACUGGGUAAAUUAUAAAGGAAAUAAAUUUAUUUAGCUAAAAGUUCUAGAGGCUGGGAAGUCCAAUAUCAUGGGGCCACUCCUGGUCAAGUCACUUGUGCUGUAUCAUAACAUGGCAGAUGGGCAGGUGAGCAUGAGAGACAGAGGAAAUUGGGCCAAACUCCAUUCUUUUAUCAGGAACCCACCCCUGCAACAAUUAACCCAGUCCUGUGAUAAUGGCAUUCAUGUAUCCAUGAAUGGGGGCUCUCAUUGACUAAUCAUCUCUUAAAGAUCCCACCUCUUCAUACUGUUACAGUGGCCAUGAAGUUUCCACAUGAGUUUUGAUAAGAACAUGGAAACCAUAGCACUCAUCUAUACUGGAAUCUUAAGUCCAGACUUAAUGAUUGUGGGAAUCAAAGUUACACUAACAGAGAAUAUAUGUACUUUCAAUUAUAUUAAAACAUUCUACUGACUAAAAGUUAUUUUUAUAAUGUAAGGCAAAAUUUUUACAGCACGCUUAUUAUCACAUGGUAUGUGUGACAAACGAUUACACACAAUCAUAAAUACAAUGAGAUUUUACUCCAGAAAGUUCCAGUGUAUUGGAAUAUUGUUCAAAAUCACCAUAUGGACAUGUGUAGCCAUCAUUACAACUUGCACAGAAUUAUUAAUACAUACAUUGACAUUAAUGCUUUGGGUAAUAAUUAAGAAUCAGCUUGAACAAUACACAGCUUGGUUUUGGAGGACUAUCAAUCAUUUGAAUUCUUCAGUACUGGCAUUUACCGUGAACUAAGGUGCUCUUAUCUGAGAGCAAAACAAUUUACAGUACUUUAAGAUUGUUUUAUGAAGCAGUGAGUUAUUUGCUUUGUUAUUUCUGGCACAUUUCAAUUAAAAUCAUUAGUGUAAUUUCACGUAUGUGGAGAACAAAAGCUUCCAAAUGGUAAUUUUGUUACAGAGGUGCUGCUAGAUGUGAGCAAAUCUAAAAAUUUCCAUAUCAUAAAGAUGGGAAGCAUUAGACUUAGGAAAUUCCAGGAUCUGAAUUUAUUCUUAAGAAGUUUGAUUUCAUUGAGAUCUCUAUUUCAGUGAUUAAAAUGAACAUCUUAGAUUGAAUCAUGAAAUUACCAUUUUUA